Seriola dumerili (greater amberjack) is the source of this 272-nucleotide long non-coding RNA. RefSeq lists it as uncharacterized. The record is from RefSeq and is a predicted model, not a curated record. The transcript has 3 exons. Lineage: Eukaryota; Metazoa; Chordata; Actinopteri; Carangiformes; Carangidae.
GGCAACAUUAACAGGACCAGGGUAGAGGGAAAUAUUCAACUGUCAGUCCUCUGGAGAGGUCAGAUUUCAGAGGACAACACCACUGAAGCUGGUACAUUCGUGCACUCACCAAAGGAAACUUCAACAUGACACCAGAUGACAAACUGUUGCAUGACCUGUGAAGAGGAGAAAUGACAGCAACACAGAUGCGACACACCUACAGGGCAAGACCAGCUGUGCUGCUGAUAUGGACAGCACAUGAACAUCAGAUUAAAAGAGUUUUGAAAACAUUA